GUAACGAGCGCAACCCUUGUCCUUAGUUACCAGCACGUUAUGUGGGCACUCUAAGGAGACUGCCGGUGGACAAACCGGAGGAAGUGGGGAUGACGUCAAGUCAUCAUGGCCCUUACGGCCUGGGCUACACACGUGCUACAAUGGUCGGUACAAAGGGUUGCCAAGGCCGCGAGGUGGAGCUAAUCCCAUAAAACCGAUCGUAGUCCGGAUCGCAGUCUGCAACUCGACUGCGUGAAGUCGGAAUCGCUAGUAAUCGUGAAUCAGAAUGUCACGGUGAAUACGUUCCCGGGCCUU
RNAcentral lists this ribosomal RNA (294 nucleotides) under uncultured Pseudomonas sp. RNAcentral's name for it is "partial 16S ribosomal RNA". It matches the Rfam family "Bacterial small subunit ribosomal RNA", at positions 1089 to 1382 of the family's 1533-position model. Lineage: Bacteria; Pseudomonadati; Pseudomonadota; Gammaproteobacteria; Pseudomonadales; Pseudomonadaceae. The record is from RNAcentral.